RNAcentral lists this small RNA (58 nucleotides) under Arabidopsis thaliana (thale cress). RNAcentral describes it as "ATSL106020". Lineage: Eukaryota; Viridiplantae; Streptophyta; Magnoliopsida; Brassicales; Brassicaceae. The record is from RNAcentral.
AGUUGCUCUUCUAGCUCAGCGCCUUCUAGUUCGUCAAGUUCUGCUUCCAAUUCAUCCU